Long non-coding RNA from Xenia sp. Carnegie-2017, 839 nucleotides. RefSeq lists it as uncharacterized. NCBI's taxonomy places the organism in Eukaryota, Metazoa, Cnidaria, Anthozoa, Malacalcyonacea, Xeniidae. The record is from RefSeq and is a predicted model, not a curated record. The transcript has 2 exons.
UUCAGUGUUUAUUUGUUGCUUUGAAUUGUAUUCAGAGCUACAAAAUUUCGACAAUGACUUCAAGAAAGCUUUGCAACAAUGGAUUAAAACACGCAAAGCAACAUAUGAUAUUAUUUUUCAUUUUAUUCGGCGUACUUUGUGGAUUUUUACUUGGUUCUUUAUUACAUGGCAAUGUUCAGUCGUCCAUAGAUCCAACACCGAAGGAAUUUGCAAUGUACGUUUCGUUUCUUAGUGAGAUUUGGGUGAAAGCUUUCAGUCUUUUGGUUCUUCGUUCGAUCGUAUCCAGCUUGCUUUUGGCAGUCGCUGAAUUGGAGUCAAAACAAAGCGGAAAAUUGUGAAGAAGAACAUUGCUGUAUUGUCUUAUGACUACAAUGUUUGGGAGUAGUUUGUUUAUUUGCAUUUAACCUGGAAAUGUUAACGUGAAAGAACAAGAACCAAACGAAGAAAACCUUGAACCAAUACCUUCUGUGCUUGACGUAAUUUGGCAACUUUAUUUAUUGUAACGUAAAUGCUACGUUCGCAAAACUGUGCAACUGUACGAGAUUUUUGAGCGCAUACGGUAAUCGCGUUAUCGAAAUAUUCACUUGAUUAUUAAUCUUCUAUUUGUGACAAACUUGCCUUAAGUACUAGAGGUGGCUAUGACUUUUUAUACAUUAUUAUAUUCAUAUUUGACACUUUUUUUACUAUGCCAUACGAACCACAUCUACCAAAGUGAUAAACACCACAAGAUCGUAAUGCUAUGUUGUAGAAUAUCCGUCCACUCACUAUCUACUUAUAUAAUAUACCUUGUUCUUUAUACUUUGUUCUUUAUUUUCACCAUUAAAUGACACUAAAUGAUA